Molecule: ribosomal RNA, 303 nt
Filed under: Triticum aestivum (bread wheat)
Lineage: Eukaryota; Viridiplantae; Streptophyta; Magnoliopsida; Poales; Poaceae
Description: partial small subunit ribosomal RNA
Source: RNAcentral
AUGAGUUUCUUAUUCUGGAACUGUCGAGGGGCGGGGAACUCUCGCACAAUUUGCGACCUCCAGGCUCUUUGUAGAUCCCAUUCCCCAAAGCUGGUGUUUUUGUGUGAAACUAGACAACCAAAUCACAAAAUGAUGAGAGUUUGCAACAGACUUGGCCUCAAAGGUUUUGAUGGCGUCAGUAGCCAGGGAAAGAGUGGUGGCUUAGCUUUGUAUUGGGAUGAAUCAGUGUCUGUCAACGUCCAGGAUAUAAAUGAAAGAUGGAUUGAUGCGUUCGUGAGACUUUCUGAUGAUGAACCGAUGUGA